This 119-nucleotide ribosomal RNA is filed under the name Notamacropus eugenii (tammar wallaby). Lineage: Eukaryota; Metazoa; Chordata; Mammalia; Diprotodontia; Macropodidae. The record is from RNAcentral.
CUCUAUGGCCAUGCCACUCUGAAAGCGCCUGAUCUCAUCCGAUCUUGGAUGCUAAGCAGAGUUGGACCUGAUUAGUACUUGGAUGGGAGAUCGCCUGGGAAAACUAGGUGCAGUUGGCU